GUAGUCAUAUGCUUGUCUCAAAGAUUAAGCCAUGCAUGUCUAAGUAUAAGCAAUCUAUACGGUGAAACUGCGAAUGGCUCAUUAAAUCAGUUAUAGUUUAUUUGAUAGUACCUUACUACAUGGAUACCUGUGGUAAUUCUAGAGCUAAUACAUGCUUAAAACUCCGACUUCGGAAGGAGUGUAUUUAUUAGAUAAAAAACCAAUGCCCUUCGGGGCUCCUUGGUGAAUCAUAAUAACUUAUCGAAUCGCAUGGCCUUGCGCCGGCGAUGGUUCAUUCAAAUUUCUGCCCUUUCAACUUUCGAUGGUAGGAUAGUGGCCUACCAUGGUGGCAACGGGUAACGGGGAAU
RNAcentral lists this ribosomal RNA (347 nucleotides) under uncultured fungus. RNAcentral describes it as "SSU rRNA". It matches the Rfam family "Eukaryotic small subunit ribosomal RNA", at positions 20 to 370 of the family's 1831-position model. Lineage: Eukaryota; Fungi. The record is from RNAcentral.